GAUGAACGCUGGCGGCGUGCGUAACACAUGCAAGUUGAACGACGGUGUCAUGAAGUGGUAACACAGAAUGGCAUACGGAGUAGCGGACGGGUGAGUACAACAUGAGAAGCUGUCCUUCAGUGGGGGACAACGUCUGGAAGCGGACGCUAAUACCCCAUAGGCCGAGAGGUUAAAGCAGAGAUGCGCUGGAGGAGGUGCUCGUGCCCUAUCAGCUAGUUGGUGAGGUAACGGCUCACCAAGGCGACGACGGGUAGCCGGCCUGAGAGGGUGAACGGCCACACUGGAACUGAGAUACGGUCCAGACUCCUACGGGAGGCAGCAGUGGGGAAUAUUGGGCAAUGGGAGGAAUCCUGACCCAGCGACGCCGCGUGAACGAUGAAGGCCUUAGGGUUGUAAAGUUCUUUUAUGUGGGAAGAAGGAAGUGACGGUACCACAU
This 436-nucleotide ribosomal RNA is filed under the name Synergistetes bacterium oral taxon 363. RNAcentral's name for it is "bacterial SSU rRNA". It matches the Rfam family "Bacterial small subunit ribosomal RNA", at positions 28 to 483 of the family's 1533-position model. Lineage: Bacteria; Thermotogati; Synergistota. The record is from RNAcentral.